AGGCUCCAGAUGCGCAGGCUCAGCGGCCAUGGCUCACGGGCCCAGCCACUCCGCGGCAUGUGGUAUCUUCCCGGACUGGGGCACAAACCCGUGUCGCCUGCAUCGGCAGGCGGACUCUCAACCACUGCGCCACCAGGGAGGCCCCACACAGAUUCCCUCAAAGAUAAUGUCUUGCCAAUGUCACAGUUGGGAUAUGGAAAUCGAUACAGUCAAGAUACAGAACAUUUCGAUCACCAUAAGGAUCUCUCCUGUUGCUCUCUUAUAUCUACACCACUACUUAACUCCCAGCAAACAAUUAUUUGUGUUAUAUAAAUAGCAUCAUACGCUCUCAACAGUGGAAGUUGGUCCAGUGAGAUCUUAAGCCCAUGCAUAGAUGGCAGCUGCUUCGCUCUAGCCUGUUUCCACCUAUUUCACCUUCCACACUGCAGCCAGAGACCUUUCAAAAACCCAGACCCAUCUGUGCCACCCUUCAGUUUAAAAACAUCCAUUCAUCUAUUUGGCCAACGAUACUUACUAAGUGCUUUCACUGUACAAGGUAAGAAUGCCAAGAACAGAACAGAUAGUCCCUGCCUGCUUUCGGGGGGUGGGGGUGGGUGAGGGAGACAAGAAACCUGUGGGCAAUUACUCAAAUCGCUAAAUAGGAUGUGCUGAUCAAGAAUAAAUCCGGGGAUUUCCCUGGUGGUGCAGUGGUUGAGAGUCCACCUGCCGAUGCAGGGGACACGGGUUCGUGCCCUGGUCCGGGAAGAUCCCACAUGCCGCGGAGCGGCUAGGCCUGUGAGCCAUGGCCGCUGAGCCUGUGCGUCUGGAACCUGUGCUCCGCAACGGGAGAGGCCACAACAGUGAGAGGGCCGCGUACCGCAAGAAAAAAAAAAAAAGAAUAAAUCCGGAGAAUGGCCUGAGGUCGAGAUCUGCACAGGGGUCAGUGCUCCAAGAGCCUUAAAGGUCACUAAGGUUAUUGAUCUUUAUCUUAAGAGCAAAGAGAAUGCAGUUGAAUGGUUUUUGUUUUGUUUUUUAAAGGUGAUUUUUAAAAAUAAACUUAUUUAUUGCUGU
This is a long non-coding RNA of Lagenorhynchus albirostris (white-beaked dolphin), 1050 nucleotides long. RefSeq lists it as uncharacterized. The transcript has 3 exons. NCBI's taxonomy places the organism in Eukaryota, Metazoa, Chordata, Mammalia, Artiodactyla, Delphinidae. The record is from RefSeq and is a predicted model, not a curated record.